AUCAACCGAGAUUCCCCCAGUAGCGGCGAGCGAACGGGGAGCAGCCCAGAGUCAACAUCAAUAUUUACCGCAGGAGAAGGGUCUGGAAAGGCCAGCAAUAAAGGGUGAUAGCCCCGUAUCUGAAACGGUAAGUGUUGUGAACUCGAAGAGUAGGGCGGGACACGUGUUAUCCUGUCUGAAUAUGGGGGGACCAUCCUCCAAGGCUAAAUACUCCUGACUGACCGAUAGUGAAUCAGUACCGUGAGGGAAAGGCGAAAAGAACCCCGGCGAGGGGAGUGAAAUAGAACCUAAAACCGUGUACGUACAAGCAGUGGGAGCACCCGAAAGGGUGUGACUGCGUACCUUUUGUAUAAUGGGUCAGCGACUUAUAUUCUGUAGCAAGGUUAACCGCAUAGGGGAGCCGUAGGGAAACCGAGUCUUAACUGGGCGUUAAGUUGCAGGGUAUAGACCCGAAACCCGGUGAUCUAGCCAUGGGCAGGUUGAAGGUUGGGUAAC
Molecule: ribosomal RNA, 495 nt
Filed under: uncultured Arsenophonus sp.
Lineage: Bacteria; Pseudomonadati; Pseudomonadota; Gammaproteobacteria; Enterobacterales; Morganellaceae
Description: bacterial LSU rRNA
Rfam family: Bacterial large subunit ribosomal RNA
Source: RNAcentral